AUUUUUCUUAUUUUAUAGACUAACAAAUUUUCAACAAUGUGAAUGAUUUAGAUAACAUUAUCAGAAAAAAAUGCUCAAAUAUUGUAUAAAAUUUUCUUUUAAUUAAUUAAAUAUUAUGUUGUCUAUUUAAUAUUAUUGUUAUUUAAAUCAUUUACAUUGUUGAAAAUUUCUUAAUCUAUAAAAUAAUAUAUCUUAUUUUGUCUGAUCAUUCUAAAGAAUUUAAUAACGUGGAUUAUCAAUAUCCAUCGUGCCAGUCAACGUGUUGAUCAUCUUUUUCUAAUUUACUUUAUAUGGGAUCAUACGACAAAAGAUGAUGAUUCACAAACGAAUCUUCCUUCUUUGUUUCUCAAGUAUUAUUUCUUGUAAUUAAGGAUAAGUAGUUCAUUUGUAACGAGCUUAUCACGAAUAACUUGACACAUUUAUCAUCUGUGUUGAAAAGCACGUUAAACUCGUGAGGUUGCGCUAUUGUUCGGUAGAGUGCGUGUUUAAAGACAAACACGUAGGAAGCGUGCUCGUUAGUUUACAUUGUGCAAAAAUCGUAGUUCUUGAGAAAAUGUAAAUCGUUAUGAUUGAAUGUAAUAUGUUAUCGUAAAAAUAUGGAAAGUUGGGACAAUCGUUGAUGUCGGGUGUAACGUAAAUAUGUUUACUUCGAUCAAAUUUUUUAAUAAAUGUGGUUAAUUCGUAACUCUAACCUUACAAUGCGGAGACUUGUCAAUCUUGCGAUGCUUCUUUGUUACUUGAGCAGAAGCGUCGCAGCUAUGUAUUGUUAUCCAGACUACUGUCAGAACGUGACAAAAUUAGUCGCUACUCCUGGUUUCCAAUGUCUAUUGACAAAAGUUCAAAGGAAAGGAGAUUGCACCAAACUCACGUUCGAAGGUUAUAGUCGUUAUCCAGAGGAUGGCACAGCAGCCAAAUUUAAUUUACGUUCAUACACGUAUGAGGAAUCUGGAUAUAAACUGACAGCUUUCAACUUAAGCGUUACCAAUGUGGACUUUCAUGGACUGGUUACACGUUAUCAAAGUUUACUGGAUGAGAACGAAUCAGCAUGUAGGUACAUAGAACUUUAUGGGAACGAAACCAAUCCAGUACCACGGGAAUUGUAUAUUUCUUGUCCAUUUUCUGAUGUAUCUUACGAAUCUGUUCCAUACCGGUUAGAUUAUCUCGUAACAGGAGAAAAGUAUAAGUAUAGCAAAAGAUAUGUUUUCAAUGUACCUGUCCACAGAUUUAUCGGAGAAGAUGUAAGUAUAAAGGAAUACAGGCCAUUUGUAUAUAUAGAUGUCUCCUAUGCUCCUCUUCUUUCAUUGCACGUGCAACCACUGCCAGAAGUGUAUAAUGUAACAGGGUAUAAAAUUUGGUUGAUAAACAACGAUACGGAUUUCGUGAAAACGUUCAAUAUGACCAGUGAACAAGAUUUUCGCUACAAUUUUACCGCUCACACCGGCGUGUUUUAUUUUAAAGUUGCUCCCAUGCAUUCAGAGUGUGGCGACUAUGGAUGCGUGAACAGCACUACGCCUUUUAUCAUUAUACAGGAGACAUCUCAUCGUUUAUUGAUCAUGAUUAUUAGCACUGUGUGGAUACCGCCAGUGAUAUUGUACGUCCUUUAUCAUCUUUACAAAUUGUAUAAAAAGGAAGUAUUGAAAAGGAGAAGGAUACCGAAAUGUUUGUUAGUCUACUCACCGACUCGACUGUCGCAUAUCAAUGUAAUGAUCGAGCUGGCAAAGUAUUUAAGAAUUUGCGAUGUUAACGCCAUGAUAGACAUGCUCGAUGUUACCGAUACCACGGACAAAGAUCCAGAAUGUUGGUGCGAUGCUGCGUUUCGAAACGCAGACGUCGUUCUUAUCGCAACUUCUCCGCCGCCUAAGAAGCCUGCGGCAUCGGCUAUUUAUCGAAACACCGGUAAUUAUCUUUUGAGACUGGUGAAAGAGAAUCAGUCGGAGAAAGAAAAGCGCUAUUAUAUCGUGCAAUUGCCGUAUUGUAAAUCGGAUGAUGUACCCGAGGAAACGAGGCAUUUGAGGAGACUGUCUUUACCAAAAGAGUUGCCUAAACUAGUAAAAAUUAUUCACAAGGUGGAGCGCGUAAAAUGUUCCUCGGUAUCCGACCAGGAAUUUCUGGACAGCGUGAAAUUAGCAAAACUCGAGAUUCUGAAGGAAGAUGCGAACAUUGCGAAAGACGAACGAGAAACUGAAAACCUUUUAACGUUGAAAAGGACGGAAACAGCAAAUAAUCGGACAUCAACUGUGCUGGAUGAUAACGCAGUGUCUCAGUCGUUUGCAACAAAUAUCGAUGAACUAAACUUGCUCGGGGAAGGUGGAGAAGGUGAGGAAGAAUGUACUCGUGAAUCUUCGAAGGACGAUACGUGCUCGUUUCGUAUCGACGAAUUGAACUUGUGACUUCGUCUCAAGUACAUUCUUUAUUCAUAACGUUGUGAACAAAUUUUACUUGCGUAAGUUAGCUCCUCGUGUCCAUUUAUUGUGAGUUACGUCUUACAAUUCUCCAUUCGUUAAGUCACAGGUAUAUUAAAUAUAUAUCUUUUUACGCAUGCAUACAUUGCACACGCGUGUAUACGUUUUAACACGAUAUUAACGAUGGUAUAAUGAUAAUAGUUGGAAUUCACAUGGCACGUGCCUGAUCGUGCUAAGAACUAGUCGAUCCAUUGGAAGUAAGCAAAUAUACAGUGUUAUAUAACUAAAUUUGUACUUGAACGCUUGCGUCAUAAACGGCAAGUGGCUAAUUAAUAUAACGAAAUGGAAUGCGCUGCUUUGUACAAGUAAACCAAAAAGGGGUGAAUUCAUUCACCGAGGUAUAAAAAAGCAGUCUUGUUCGAAUACGAUUACAUCGACCAACAACUAGGAUACUCAAGUUUACCGCCUCUUUGAGUGUAUCGUCGAAUCACCGUUUCGUGCAAUUAUUUAACAGACGGUUCACCAUAAAGUGAAUGUUAAAAGCUGGAAGCCGCUGCGAAGAAGGAUUUAACUGGAAGUUUAAAAGUUUGACAAUUUUAGUAAUUAAUAUUAAUCAUUACGAUCUUUCGCUUCUCGUUCGAUCAUUUGUUACGCGAUUGAUCGUGAAAUUAUCGGAAGGUGUUUACACAGUUAAUUAAACGUUAGUCACCCUUUAGGGACGUAGCUUUCGUCAAUGAGAAGCCAUUUAUCUAAUUUGUUCUUUUUCGUUCGUUCCAAUUCAAUCGCUUGUUAGGACAUAAAUGACGAAACGAAUAGGAAAAUUUCCAUCAGGGUGACUAAACUGCGGUUUGCUUCGGCAAUUUGAAUAGCUUGGAACAUCUUUCGUCGAAUGCUCUGUAUCGUAAAAAUCCAAGAAUAUAUAAAGCUGUAACAGGCGUCUUGAGUAGAAAGACUCGUUAAUAAUUUCUAGUAUAAAUUACACAAAGAUCUGGCUGUUUACAUGAAAAUGUAAUGUUGUAUAUCGAUUUCCAUACUAUAUACUAUCACCGUUAGUAUACCGUUCUUCAGCUCUUAUCUCCUGAAGCGUCGAUCUAUCUAUUUGGACGUAUGCUAUCCGCAUCUUUUUCUGAUUUUCUAGCGUUGCAAAGUUCAUCGUCUCGUAUUCUUAUAUGCGACACGUAUGCCCGACAGAAAGAAAAAGAAGGCACAGUAUCGAAGGUGUUUGUUGCUCUCGAUCGUUUCAACGAUCACGUUCCCGUUCGUUUCGUAAUGGCAUACUCGUCGUACGCUAGACGAUACUCCUCUCGAACGAAGAAAAGACGCGAUUUGUCUUCUCGAACCUCUAGAUCAUCGAUA
Molecule: RNA transcript, 3758 nt
Organism: Bombus huntii
Lineage: Eukaryota; Metazoa; Arthropoda; Insecta; Hymenoptera; Apidae
Exons: 10
Source: RefSeq, a predicted model, not a curated record